This 239-nucleotide ribosomal RNA is filed under the name uncultured bacterium. RNAcentral's name for it is "partial 16S ribosomal RNA". It matches the Rfam family "Bacterial small subunit ribosomal RNA", at positions 1251 to 1500 of the family's 1533-position model. The record is from RNAcentral.
UACCACGCGAGUGGAUGCCAAUCCCUAAAACCCCUCUCAGUUCGGACUGGAGUCUGCAACCCGACCCCACGAAGCUGGAUUCGCUAGUAAUCGCGCAUCAGCCACGGCGCGGUGAAUACGUUCCCGGGCCUUGUACACACCGCCCGUCAAGCCAUGGGAGCCGGGGUACCUGAAGUGCGUAACCGCGAGGAUCGCCCUAGGGUAAAACUGGUGACUGGGCUAAGUCGUAACAAGGUACC